UUUUCUUACAUUGUAUCAGAGCACCGGAUGGAGAGCGAGAACUCAGAUCAAAUGACUUGCCAACAAAGUCCAUCUUCUUCAGGGGAAAUCAUCCUAGGCCCAUUUAAUCUGAGUAGUCCAUACUACGUUGAUGUGAAUAUGAAGUUAGACACACUCUUCGUCACUCUUGUUACUUGAAGCAAACAAGUAUCACAUAUGGGUGAGAUCUAUGAAGCUUGCAUUACGAAUCGAAAACAAGAUAGGAUUUAUAGAUGGAAGACUGAAACAACCAACGGAUCCGUCAGAUCCUUUGAUGAAACAUUGGUUGCGAUGCAAUGACAUUGUUUUCAUAUCACGCUAUGACUGCGGACAUAAAGUGUAACACAUUUUAUGUUGACACAGCACAUCAACUGUGGCAUAAGUUGGAGCAAAGAUAUGCGAAGCCGGAUACACUGUAAGUAUAUAUUUCUCAAGGUUAAUGGCCUUGUUCGUCGAACUAAUGAAUUAUGAGUCAAUGCCGAACUGUAAUUGUGGUUGUUUAAGAACGAUAGUUGAAUACCGUCAAAGAGAUUGUGUGAUGAAGUUUCUUAUGGGUUUAAAUUAGUCGUAUGAACCUAUCAAGACUUAGAUAUUGUUAAGAAAACCCUUUCCUAGUUUGGAUGAAGUGUAUUCGAUCAUUCAGCAACAAGAAAAAUGUAGGGAGAUCAUUUCAGAUACUAUGACUAAUAAGGCCUUAGCAUUCAACGUUAAAGAAACAAAUAAAAAAGAUAGAGUUCCCAAUCCAAAUAGAGACAAAUACUACUGCUCUUAUUGCAAAAUAACAGGACAUUCCUUAAAGAGGUGUUUCAAAGCAAAUCCCAAUAGACCUGUGUGCUCUAAUUGUAAUAUGCCUGGACAUAAUACAGAGGAUUGCUACAAUCCUUGAUGAUACUCAAAAGA
RNAcentral lists this long non-coding RNA (918 nucleotides) under Carica papaya (papaya). Its description in RNAcentral is "long non-coding RNA (CPAP_LNC013986)". Lineage: Eukaryota; Viridiplantae; Streptophyta; Magnoliopsida; Brassicales; Caricaceae. The record is from RNAcentral.